This is a long non-coding RNA of Sapajus apella (tufted capuchin), 521 nucleotides long. RefSeq lists it as uncharacterized. The record is from RefSeq and is a predicted model, not a curated record. NCBI's taxonomy places the organism in Eukaryota, Metazoa, Chordata, Mammalia, Primates, Cebidae. The transcript is spliced from 2 exons.
UGAAGUGUUGCCCAUUACCUACUGGAUAAAGUCUUUAUUUUUUUAGACCUGCACAGAAGGUACUUUUCAAUCCAUCCACAGCCUACCUCCAUCCCAACUUUUCUUUCAUACAUUAUACUUUUUCCAGUACCUCAUAGCUCUCAAAUUUUCACAGGAUUAUGUGUCUUUAUGGCUUUGCACAGCUCUUAUAAAUUACCAAGUCUCAGGUAGUUCUUUAUAGCAGCAUGAGAAUGGACUAAUACACAGGCCAUUAAAAUAAAAGAAUCUUGUGAUUUUUAGAGGUUAAAAAUAAUAAACUAUCAUUAACACAAAACUCUUUUGUCCUUGACCAGGCAUUAGGUCUGUAUUUAACCAUAAAAAUAUGAAGCAGUACCAACAAGAAAUUACUUACAACUCAAUUUCAUCCACUGACUUAAACAUCUCUCAAACCAUAUCACAAUUAUUUGCCACAGAGAAUCAAUUAAAAAAAAAUUACAGUGAAAUGAACUAUACUAUUGCUCCAACUGAUAUUACAGACAAAU